Molecule: long non-coding RNA, 4350 nt
Filed under: Zostera marina
Lineage: Eukaryota; Viridiplantae; Streptophyta; Magnoliopsida; Alismatales; Zosteraceae
Description: long non-coding RNA (ZMAR_LNC002559)
Source: RNAcentral
CCAGACCCAGAAUUUUUUAUGGGUCUGGUCUGGGUCCAGACAUUUUCCUUCUGGACUCGGACCCAGCCCAAACCCGGGCCAACUUCAUGGAUCUGGGUCUGGGUCCAAGCUAGCCAGUCCAAACCCAACCUAUUUACAUCCAUAGUCAUCAACAACAAAUUAAGGAAAUAUAAAAAAUAGGAAAUACAACAUAAUUAAGAAAUAAAAAAACAACAAUAAUUUAUAUAGAUGUUGAUAUUUAAUUGGAUUUAGGGAUCCGAUUAAAGUAAUCAGCCUGCCAUCCGGGUGUCUUCUUUAGGCGAAUCGAGCGAGCUUCAAUUUGGGCAUCGGUAAACUCUUCAACUGGUUUUCCGAUCAGCUCCUCCUCCUUCGACGCGUCUAACACUUCAAUCGCAACCUCCAGGUCUUUCAAUAUGUUGGCGAGAUCGACUUCAACUGUAACAUGGUCGCUUUCCCUCAAGCUUCGCCUUGUCCUCAAGGUGAAUUGAAGGAAAAAGCUUCUUUAGCUCGACGUCGUCCUCCCAUGAAGUAUCCUCCAUUAAUGCACCGCUCCACUGAACGAGUGAUUGAGGUACCUUCCUUCCUUGUCGAUAAAUUACCCUGAAAUCAAUCAAAGAAAUUGGGAAUAAUAAUGGUUCGUUUCUUAUAACAAGUAGGGGAGAUGAUUCUAUCUUGACGGGUGGUGGACUAAUGAAGGGCUUCAAUUGAGAGACAUGAAACCUAUCUAUUAGUUAUAAACAAGUAUUACUUUCAUAUAACUAAAUAUAUAUUAGUUUGGAUGAUUACGAUCAAAUUUAUAUAAUCUGAAUGAUUUAUGGAUAUUAUUUUAAUUCUGGCUUUUGUCUUGUUGUGUAAUGAAUGUCUUUAACAGAGAAUAUAUCAGCCCAAGAUUGAAGUCCAUGAUCAAUGUCAUGCAAUUCCUUGAGGAUUUUUUUAGUAAUUCCAGAAUUCCUUGGAAUGAAGUACCUCCCUUUGAACAUCAAAAAAUCUCUCCUUAUUUCAAAAUCGUAAGCCCCAUUAAUGUGUCCAUUCUGAAUUUUCUUAGACAGAUCAAAAAUCUCUUGGGAAAUAAGAUUUUCUUACCUUAGUUCCUCAAUAACUAGGUUGAUUGGGCCAGAUAGAGCUAUCAUUGAUCCUUGGGCUGCAUCUGCACAGUUUUCUCUAGAUAAUCUCUUCUUCUCCUUCUUCAAAACAUAUGGAGAAAGCGUCAACUGCUAAAUUAUCCUUUCUAGGUUUGUAUACAGCAGUAAAAUUAUAGCCUAAUAAUUUGCAUAGAAAUAUUUGUUGCUCAGGAGUCUGAAUGACUUGAGUGAGUAUGUUUUCGAGGCUUCUAUGAUAUGUUUUUAUGAUAAAAUAUCUUCCGAACAGAUAAUGCCUCCACUUAGCUACAACUUGAGUGAUGGCAAACAUCUCUUUGAAGUAAACUGUGGCUGCAGAAAUUCUACCACUAAUUUUGCUACUGCAGAAAGCAAUAGGGUGGCUCUCAUGUUAUAAUACUACCCCAAUACCAGAGUUGCAUGCAUCAAUUUCGAUAAUAAACUCCUUGUUAAAGUCUGGAAAUUUCAGAACAAGUGCUUCAAUCAUGACUUUCUUCAAUCUUUCAAAACUAGCAGAAGCAUCCUCAUACCAUAUAUAAUGAGUCUUUUUUCAAAAGAUUUAUCAUGGAGGAUGCUAUUUGAGCAUAACCUUUGAUUGUGCAUAGAUUCUCGUGUCCGUAUAGCCAUCAGCAAAUGGGCUCAGUAGAACGACGUCACAGACAUUUAAUUGAUAUUGUUAUUACACUUCUGCAUUAGGCAUCAAUACUGUCUGAAUACUAGGAUAUGCUCUUAUGACUGCCGCUCACAUUUAUAAUCGUAAUCCUUCCAAUAGUAUUGGAGGAAUUUCUCCGAUUGAAGCAUUAUUUGGAGUCAAACCGGACUAUUCUAAAUUGAGGUUUUUGGCUCCAAGUGUUUUCCUUGUUUGAGGGCCUAUAGAAAAUCAAAACUGGACUUGAAAUCAAACCCGUGUAUUUUUAUGGGUUAUCCGGUGAAGUCCGAGGGUUACUUGUGUAGAAAUCCAAUCUCGGGUGUAACUCAUAUUUCCAGAAAUGUCAAGUUCGUCGAAGAGGAUUUCUCUCUAAGUAAAUUACUUCAUGAGGAUGAUAUUGUGCCUCGUUUUGUAAGUAAUGGGCCCAAAACGGAUUAUGAGAAAACCCUUGACAUCAUUAGUCAUAACUCAGCUCAAAUUAUUCCUGAUGAGUCUCUAAGGGUUCAUGACGCUGAUGAGGUCGAGGAAAAUACGAGGCUUAAUGACAGAGUCGAGAUUUUGGAUCCAAUCGACAAUGGUGAUGGUUCAUUAUUGGAUGCUGAGGAGAAUGCUUCACCAUAGCCACUUCUGCCAGAGGCAUUAGAACCAUCUUCUGUUGAUACGUCCAAUUCAGGGUCAGAGAUGGGAGAUGAGGUUGUUGUUUCUACUGUGCAUGCUGUUAGAUCUAAAUCUGGAAUUUUUAAACCUAAUCCUAAAUAUGCUUUCGUGGUUUCUCCUAAUGAUAUUAUUAUUCUCAUAUCACCGAAGGAAACCUUGUUAAUUCCAGAAUGGAAGGCUGCGAUGGUUGAGGAAUUUGAGGCUCUCAAGAAGAAUGAUACCUGGAUGUUGGUUCCACAAGGUAAGGAUGAUCAUAUUAUAUAUCCAAUCUGGAUUUUUAAAAUUAAACACAGAGAGGAUGGUAUGGUAGAAAGUUUGAAAGCUCGACUUGUUGCAAAUGGGUUGACACAGAUUAAAGGGUGUGAGUACAACGAAACAUUUAGUCCGGUGGUCAAAGCUGUCUCAAUAAAGUUGGUUCUCACUAUUGCCAUUUCCAAAGGUUGGAACAUAAUUCAACUAGAUAUCUCAAAUGCUUUUCUAUAUGGUGACAUUGAAGAAAAGGUAAUUAUUUCACAACCAGUGGGAUUCGUGGAUACAAAUUUUCUUAAUCAUGGUUUGUCGUCUCAACAAGGCACUUUAUGGGCUUAAGCAAGCUCCUCGGAUGUGGUUCAAGCGUUUUACGACAUUUCUGAUUUCAGUUGGCUUCACUCAAAGGUGGUUAGAUCCCUCAUUAUUUAUUCUUUUACAAUCGACCCCAACUAGUCAUGUUAUCUACUUAUUUGUCUAUGUAGAUGAUAUGGUGAUUUCAGGUUCAGAUAGUUCGAUGGUGGAGAAUAUGAUCACAAAGCUGAGUGGAAAAUUUGCAGUUCGUUGCCUUGGUCAUUUAUCGUUUUUCUUGGGUAUUCAAGUAAGAACGGUCAAAGAAGGUCUUCAUGUUAGUCAAACUCAGUACUUGGUGAAUUUGCUUAAGGGGUGUAAUCUUGAUAAUCGAUCUCAAACCAGCAACAUCGCCUAUGGUAACUAAUCAAGAUCUACACUCAGAUGAGGCCCCUAUUCAAGACGUAAAGGAAUAUUGGAGGAUCAUUGGGUCCUUGCAAUAUCUGACCUUGACUCGUCCGAAUAUUCAAUUCUGUGAAUAAACUGUCACAAUAUAUGUCGUCGCCCAAACCACUUCAUCUUAUUGCACUCAAGAGAGUUCUUCGGUAUCUUUCCAGCUCACAAAAUUAUUUUAGCAUUGCAGGUUUUUGCGACGCAGAUUGGACUGCUAAUACCGAUGAUCAAAAAAGUCAGACCGGGUAUCUGAUUUUUGUAGGCGGGAGUUUAGUAACUUGGAGUUCACGUAAACAAGGUAUCGUUGCUCGAUCAAACACGGAAUCUGAAUAUUAUGCUAUCGCCACAACAAUUCAGGAGCUCGAAUGGGUGAAGAAUCUCCUUGUUGAACUUGGAAUAGAGGUGAAAUCACCAAUGAGGUUGUGGUCUGAUAAUAGAGGUGCAACAUUAUUAGCUACUAAUUCGGCAUGUCAUACGAAGCUUAAGCAUGUGGCUAUGGAUCUCAGUUAUGUAAGAGAAAGAGUUGAGCAAGGUUCGGUGUUAGUUUCGCACAUACUUGGUAAAGAACAAUUAGCAGAUAUUCUUACCAAGGCUUUAAAUCCGAAAUCAUUCUAGGAACAAAAACACAAUCUGGUCAAAGAAUUCUCUCCAGAUUGAGGGGGUGUGUUGUUAUUAUAGUAAGCGUUACGAUUCUGAUUUAUUAUUGUCAUUAUGUUAAACGUUACGAUUCUGAUUUAUUGUUGUAAUUAUGUUAAACGUUACGAUUCUGAUUUAUUAUUGUAAUUAUGUUAAACGUUACGAUUUUGAUUUAUAAAUAUCAAAUUGGACUCUGUGGUACACGGUCCUUGACAAACAUUUCUUGUGUUCAUUUGCUCUUCUUAGUUCACUCUUCUUCGUUUACUCAAUAAGGCUGGUAAUGGAAGCUCAAGAAAUCAAUCACAAUCUAAGACUACAAGC